GGGGUUGUAGCUCAGUGGUAGAGUUCUCAUCUAGCAUGUGUGAGGCCCUGGAUUCAAUCUUCAGCACCA
RNAcentral lists this transfer RNA (69 nucleotides) under Ictidomys tridecemlineatus (thirteen-lined ground squirrel). RNAcentral's name for it is "Spermophilus tridecemlineatus (thirteen-lined ground squirrel) tRNA". It matches the Rfam family "tRNA". Rfam says of the family: Transfer RNA (tRNA) molecules are approximately 80 nucleotides in length. Their secondary structure includes four short double-helical elements and three loops (D, anti-codon, and T loops). Lineage: Eukaryota; Metazoa; Chordata; Mammalia; Rodentia; Sciuridae. The record is from Rfam by way of RNAcentral.